GCCAGACUCCUACGGGAGGCAGCAGUGAGGAAUAUUGGUCAAUGGGCGAGAGCCUGAACCAGCCAAGUCGCGUGAGGGAAGACGGUCCUACGGAUUGUAAACCUCUUUUGUCAGGGAGCAAGGAGCGCCACGAGUGGUGCGGCGAGAGUACCUGAAGAAAAAGCAUCGGCUAACUCCGUGCCAGCAGCCGCGGUAAUACGGAGGAUGCGAGCGUUAUCCGGAUUUAUUGGGUUUAAAGGGUGCGCAGGCGGCGUGUAAGGACGGGGGUAAAGGCCGGGGGCACACCCCCGGCGAGCCGUUGAAACUGGCGGGCUGGAGUUGGAGAGAAGUACGCGGAAUGCGCGGUGUAGCGGUGAAAUGCUUAGAUAUCGCGCAGAACCCCGAUUGCGAAGGCAGCGUACCGGCUCCACACUGACGCUGAGGCACGAAAGCGUGGGUAUCGAACAGGAUUAGAUACCCCCGUAGCA
RNAcentral lists this ribosomal RNA (467 nucleotides) under uncultured bacterium. RNAcentral's name for it is "bacterial SSU rRNA". It matches the Rfam family "Bacterial small subunit ribosomal RNA", at positions 330 to 795 of the family's 1533-position model. The record is from RNAcentral.